This 451-nucleotide ribosomal RNA is filed under the name uncultured bacterium. RNAcentral's name for it is "partial 16S ribosomal RNA". It matches the Rfam family "Bacterial small subunit ribosomal RNA", at positions 354 to 796 of the family's 1533-position model. The record is from RNAcentral.
GUGGGGAAUAUUGGACAAUGGGCGCAAGCCUGAUCCAGCCAUGCCGCGUGUGUGAAGAAGGCCUUUUGGUUGUAAAGCACUUUAAGCGAGGAGGAGGCUACUGAGAUUAAUACUCUUGGAUAGUGGACGUUACUCGCAGAAUAAGCACCGGCUAACUCUGUGCCAGCAGCCGCGGUAAUACAGAGGGUGCGAGCGUUAAUCGGAUUUACUGGGCGUAAAGCGUGCGUAGGCGGCUUUUUAAGUCGGAUGUGAAAUCCCUGAGCUUAACUUAGGAAUUGCAUUCGAUACUGGGAAGCUAGAGUAUGGGAGAGGAUGGUAGAAUUCCAGGUGUAGCGGUGAAAUGCGUAGAGAUCUGGAGGAAUACCGAUGGCGAAGGCAGCCAUCUGGCCUAAUACUGACGCUGAGGUACGAAAGCAUGGGGAGCAAACAGGAUUAGAUACCCUGGUAGUCC